AAAAAUUACAGCUGUCACGUUAAAAGUGAUCUAUUCCCAAAGGAUAGGUACUUUAAACAUAACUUUUA
Molecule: non-coding RNA, 68 nt
Organism: Caenorhabditis elegans
Lineage: Eukaryota; Metazoa; Nematoda; Chromadorea; Rhabditida; Rhabditidae
Source: Ensembl